UCUGGGAGGUUGUAGCAGUGGA
RNAcentral lists this microRNA (22 nucleotides) under Pan troglodytes (chimpanzee). Its description in RNAcentral is "ptr-miR-3192". The record is from miRBase by way of RNAcentral. Lineage: Eukaryota; Metazoa; Chordata; Mammalia; Primates; Hominidae.